This 315-nucleotide ribosomal RNA is filed under the name uncultured bacterium. Its description in RNAcentral is "bacterial SSU rRNA". It matches the Rfam family "Bacterial small subunit ribosomal RNA", at positions 28 to 334 of the family's 1533-position model. The record is from RNAcentral.
GAUGAACGCUAGCUACAGGCUUAACACAUGCAAGUCGAGGGGCAGCAUGGUCUUAGCUUGCUAAGGCCGAUGGCGACCGGCGCACGGGUGAGUAACACGUAUCCAACCUGCCGUCUACUCUUGGACAGCCUUCUGAAAGGAAGAUUAAUACAAGAUGGCAUCAUGAGUCCGCAUGUUCACAUGAUUAAAGGUAUUCCGGUAGACGAUGGGGAUGCGUUCCAUUAGAUAGUAGGCGGGGUAACGGCCCACCUAGUCGUCGAUGGAUAGGGGUUCUGAGAGGAAGGUCCCCCACAUUGGAACUGAGACACGGACCAG